CCAUGGCAUUGCCUCAGUAGCGGCGAGUGAAGCGGCAAGAGCUCAGAUUUGAAAUCUCACCUAGUGUGCGAGUUGUAAAUUGCAGGUUGGAGUCUCGGGUUAGACGUGUGUGCAAGUCCCUUGGAACAGGGUGCCACUGAGGGUGAGAGCCCCGUAUCGUGCAUGUCGACACCUGUGAGGCCCUUCUGACGAGUCGAGUUGUUUGGGAAUGCAGCUCUAAGUGGGUGGUAAAUUCCAUCUAAGGCUAAAUAUUGGCGAGAGACCGAUAGCGAACAAGUACUGUGAAGGAAAGAUGAAAAGCACUUUGAAAAGAGAGUGAAACAGCACGUGAAAUUGUUGAAAGGGAAGGGUAUUGGGCUCGACAUGGGAUUUACGCAUCGUUGCCUCUCGUGGGCGGCGCUCUGGGUUUUUCCUGGGCCAGCAUCGGUUUUCGUUGCAGGAUAAGGACAAUUGGAAUGUGGCUCCUCGGAGUGUUAUAGCCUUUUGUAGAUGCUGCGUAUGGGGACCGAGGGCUGCGGCGGACUCGUUUCGUCUCGGAUGCUGGCACAACGGCGCAAUACCGCCCGUCUUAAUCCGGGACCACAAU
RNAcentral lists this ribosomal RNA (586 nucleotides) under Pichia kluyveri. RNAcentral describes it as "partial large subunit ribosomal RNA". It matches the Rfam family "Eukaryotic large subunit ribosomal RNA", at positions 65 to 664 of the family's 3401-position model. The record is from RNAcentral. Lineage: Eukaryota; Fungi; Ascomycota; Pichiomycetes; Pichiales; Pichiaceae.